AGCGGCGGACGGGUGAGUAACACGUGGACAAUCUGCCCCCCGGCCCGGGAUAGUCCAGGGAAACCUGGAUUAAUACCGGAUGAGACGGGACCCGCGAUGGCGGGAUCCGGGAAAGGCGCUGCGGCGCCGCCGGGGGAUGAGUCUGCGUCCCAUUAGCUAGACGGCGGGGUAACGGCCCACCGUGGCGACGAUGGGUAGCCGGCCUGAGAGGGUGGACGGCCACAUUGGAACUGAGACACGGUCCAGACUCCUACGGGAGGCAGCAGCUAAGAAUCUUCCGCAAUGGGCGAAAGCCUGACGGAGCGACGCCGCGUGAACGAAGAAGGCCGUGAGGUUGUAAAGUUCUUUUCGGGAGGGGGAACAACCGUGGCAGGGAAUGGCCGCGGGAUGACGUGAAUCCCGGAAUAAGCCCCGGCUAACUACGUGCCAGCAGCCGCGGUAACACGUAGGGGGCGAGCGUUGUUCGGAAUCAUUGGGCGUAAAGGGCGUGCAGGCGGUCCUGCAAGUCCGGCGUGAAAGACCCCGGCCCAACCGGGGGGACGCGCUGGAAACUGCAGGGCUUGAGUACAGGAGGGGAUGCCGGAAUUCCAGGUGUAGGGGUGAAAUCUGUAGAUAUCUGGAAGAACACCAAUGGCGAAGGCAGGCAUCUGGCCAUGUACUGACGCUGAGACGCGAAGGUGCGGGGAGCAAACAGGUUUAGAUACCCUGGUAGUCCGCACA
This 720-nucleotide ribosomal RNA is filed under the name uncultured bacterium. Its description in RNAcentral is "bacterial SSU rRNA". It matches the Rfam family "Bacterial small subunit ribosomal RNA", at positions 94 to 801 of the family's 1533-position model. The record is from RNAcentral.